This 1364-nucleotide ribosomal RNA is filed under the name metagenome. Its description in RNAcentral is "bacterial LSU rRNA". It matches the Rfam family "Bacterial large subunit ribosomal RNA", at positions 1565 to 2925 of the family's 2925-position model. The record is from RNAcentral.
AUACGUCUCUAUCUUUGGGUAGAGAUCAGUUGACUGUCAUACUCCCAAGAAAAGCUCGAACUACUGUAAAACAUCAAAUACCUGUACCGUAAACCGACACAGGUGGGUUAGUAGAGUAUACUAAGGGGCGCGAGAUAACUCUCUCUAAGGAACUCGGCAAAAUGACCCCGUAACUUCGGGAGAAGGGGUGCCAAGUAACUUAAAUUGCUUGGUCGCAGUGACCAGGCCCUGGCGACUGUUUAUCAAAAACACAGGUCUCCGCAAAGUCGUAAGACAACAUAUGGGGGCUGACGCCUGCCCAGUGCCGGAAGGUUAAAGAAGUUGGUUAUUCAUCCCCUUUGGGGAGGAAGAAGCUGACGACUGAAGCCCCGGUGAACGGCGGCCGUAACUAUAACGGUCCUAAGGUAGCGAAAUUCCUUGUCGGGUAAGUUCCGACCCGCACGAAAGGCGUAACGAUCAGGGCACUGUCUCGGAGAGAGACUCGGUGAAAUAGACAUGUCUGUGAAGAUGCGGACUACCUGCACCUGGACAGAAAGACCCUAUGAAGCUUGACUGUAGCUUGGAAUUGGGUUCGGGCUCUUCUUGCGCAGCCUAGGUGGGAGGCAUUGAAGGUUUUCUUUCGGGGAAACUGGAGCCAACAGUGAGAGACCACUCUGGAGGAGCUAGAAUUCUAAUGGCGUUCCUUGAAGCAGGACGCUUGACAGUUUCAGGUGGGCAGUUUGACUGGGGCGGUCACCUCCUAAAAGGUAACGGAGGUGUGCAAAGGUUCCCUCAGGCUGGACGGAAAUCAGCCGGAGAGUGUAAAGGCAGAAGGGAGCUUGACUGCAAGACCUACAAGUCGAGCAGGGGCGAAAGCCGGCCUUAGUGAUCCGACGGUUCCAUGUGGAAGGGCCGUCGCUCAACGGAUAAAAGUUACUCUAAGGGUAACAGGCUGAUCUUCCCCAAGAGUUCACAUCGACGGGAAGGUUUGGCACCUCGAUGUCGGCUCAUCGCAACCUGGGGCGGUAGUACGUCCCAAGGGUUGGGCUGUUCGCCCAUGAAAGCGGUACGUGAGCUGGGUUCAGAACGUCGUGAGACAGUUCGGUCCAUAUCCGGUGUAGGCGUUAGAGCAUUGAGAGGAGCCUUCCAUAGUACGAGAGGACCUGGAAGGACGCACCUCUGGUAUACCAGUUAUCGUGCCAACGGUAGACGCUGGGUAGCCAUGUGUGGAGUGGAUAACCGCUGAAAGCAUCUAAGUGGGAAGCCCACCUCAAGAUGAGUGCUCUCCAUUAGGUCACAGGAAGACAACCUGUUCGAUAGGCAGAAGGUGUAAGGCCAGUAAUGGUUUCAGCUGAUCUGUACUAACAGACCGAAUGAUUUUGACA